CACCCCUCGGGGUGUGUUAUAGCCUCCUACUGGAUACAGCGACCGAGACCGAGGACAGCAGCGUACUCGCAAGAGCGGGCCUUCGGGCACCUUUACGCUUAGGGCGUUGGCAUAAUGGCCCUCUACCACCCGUCUUGAAACACGGACCAAGGAGUCUAACAUGUAUGCGAGUCUUUGGGUGGCAAACCCAUAGGCGCAAUGAAAGUGAAUUCAGGUGGGAUCCGCAAGGUGCACCAUCGACCGAUCCUCACGUCUUUUAAGUCGUGGAUUUGAGUAAGAGCAUACCUGUUGGGACCCGAAAGAUGGUGAACUAUGCCUGAAUAGGGUGAAGCCAGAGGAAACUCUGGUGGAGGCUCGUAGCGGUUCUGACGUGCAAAUCGAUCGUCAAAUUUGGGUAUAGGGGCGAAAGACUAAUC
RNAcentral lists this ribosomal RNA (416 nucleotides) under Langdonia walkerae. RNAcentral's name for it is "partial large subunit ribosomal RNA". It matches the Rfam family "Eukaryotic large subunit ribosomal RNA", at positions 520 to 936 of the family's 3401-position model. Lineage: Eukaryota; Fungi; Basidiomycota; Ustilaginomycetes; Ustilaginales; Ustilaginaceae. The record is from RNAcentral.